This 470-nucleotide ribosomal RNA is filed under the name uncultured bacterium. RNAcentral describes it as "partial 16S ribosomal RNA". It matches the Rfam family "Bacterial small subunit ribosomal RNA", at positions 28 to 507 of the family's 1533-position model. The record is from RNAcentral.
GACGAACCCUGGCGGCGUGCUUAACACAUGCAAGUCGAACGGUGAACGAGGGAGCUUGCUCCCUCCGGAUCAGUGGCGAACGGGUGAGUAACACGUGAGCAAUCUGCCCCGAACUCUGGGAUAAGCGUUGGAAACGACGUCUAAUACCGGAUACGACGCGGGAGGGCAUCCUCUCCGCGUGGAAAGAACUUCGGUUCGGGAUGAGCUCGCGGCCUAUCAGCUUGUUGGUGAGGUAACGGCUCACCAAGGCGACGACGGGUAGCCGGCCUGAGAGGGUGACCGGCCACACUGGGACUGAGACACGGCCCAGACUCCUACGGGAGGCAGCAGUGGGGAAUAUUGCACAAUGGGCGCAAGCCUGAUGCAGCAACGCCGCGUGAGGGACGACGGCCUUCGGGUUGUAAACCUCUUUUAGCAGGGAAGAAGCGAAAGUGACGGUACCUGCAGAAAAAGCACCGGCUAACUACGUG